Molecule: long non-coding RNA, 2651 nt
Organism: Calidris pugnax (ruff)
Lineage: Eukaryota; Metazoa; Chordata; Aves; Charadriiformes; Scolopacidae
Exons: 2
Source: RefSeq, a predicted model, not a curated record
UUAUUUAUUUAUUCUCCCUCUCCUUAUAUAUAUUUUUUUUUUCUAUUUUCUGAUGAUUUUUUUCCUGGGCUGGUGCUGCCCUUUUGUACACGGAGUUGGGGCUGCUGCUGCUGGGAAGGCAGCGAGUUUAAACGCUGUUAAUCACCCAAGCAGAUUUCUUCCCCCCCCUUCUCCCUUCUCUUUCUAAUGUGCCCAAAAGGGGGGUAUAAGUCGCGUUUCUUUGUUCUUGGGUUAUCCAACAUCUGGCUCAGGAGAGACCUGGUUCAUGACUGAGGUGCUCAGGACUUCGUUAGUGUAAAUAAUAAUUACAGGGCAGAAAUAUUCGUCUCAAAAGUCUUCGUGUGUGUGUGUAGGGGUGGGGGGGGGUUGCUAAGCCUUGGCUUCCUUGCAGCUACGGGUAAUUUCCAUAGCGUGGGGAGAUGUUUUCUGUGCACCUCUUCAAGAUUCAGAUCUCGGCUUUAUUUUCUUCUCUCUUCCUCCUCUCCCUCCCCCCCCCCACUGGAAGCAUCUUCGUUAUUUCCAGAAUUUGGGAUUUUUAUCUUGGGAAGGGCAUUGCUGUUCUGGAUUUUGUCUCUCGUGCUGCUGUCCAGGCAGAGUUUUAGAUCCUCUUUCCGCGUCCUGGACACUGUGAGAGUAUUUUCAGUGUUGUGGUGGCCGUGCUCGGGCGUUAUUUUUUCACAGUUUCGCUCGUGACAUCAUGGCAACUUGUGUUCAUCCUUACUUUAGCAGCAGCGUUACCUUCUCUUCUGAUUCAUCUGCAUCACAGUUGCUCAUUUUUAAAACCUGUUACGUUGGACUUUUAAUGCCCAAAUGUUGGGGAAAUAGAUGAGAGAGGGGUCGUUCAGCUUCUUAAUUUAGAUUUUCAUGCCUGUGGUAAAACUGGGAGCAACAGGGUUUUUUUUUUAAAUUGAGGGGGAAAGAGGAAGUAUAUGAUGAUGGUAACUGUGGAAAGGCCAGGAUUAUAUUAACUCUAUUUCGGGUUUUAAUGUCCAUCAUGGAUAAGUGUUGUAGUGUUUAAUUAAAUCAUAUCCUCUUGGAGUUUUCUAUAUGUGUGUUCGUUAUAUAGAGUAUGACAGUUGUUUUUUAUUGUUUUUUUUUUUUACUGUAUCACAGUUGUUUUUCAGAAGUCUCCUGUCAUUUAUGUACAGGCUUUAUGAUGAAUGAAUGACUUUUGCCUUUCCCCAGCAAGCUGGGGAACCCUCUGCCUCCUCCAGUGCGUGUUUUAUGCGGGUUUUUACAAUUUCAUGUGCCACGAUAGCGUCUGCGCUGGACAAAGUGUGUGUGGCCUGAUGUACGUUCACGUUAUACCGGUGGAAUGAAGCCCAGGUCUUGUAAAGCAGUGUUAGUUGGCAGCCUGGAAUAGAGCUGGUGUUUGUGUGGGUGUUGGAAAUAGGAUUUUUGGUGAGGAGCAGUGAACGGUUUCUGCUGAAUCACAAUUUUUCUGUGGACCCCGUUGACUCGUGGCGUUUCACCUCGUUCCCCCUUGUGCCGCGCGGAUGCUCCUUUGGAGGUACCUUGGCCUGGCUGUGCUCUGUCUAACAAGAGUGUGAGUUAUCCUCACACCAGUUUUACGUGGUGGAUGUGGACGUGCCAUCUUGCUCUAGUUGAAGGUGUCGCUGCCCAGGGCAUGGGGGUUUAGAACUUGAUGAUCUUUAAGGUCCCUUCCAACUCUAACCAUUCUAUGAUUCUAUCCCAGCUGGGCUGCCCAGUGUGCCAGAACCAGAAAUACCCUCACCCCAGGAGUAAAUAAGCCAUCCUGACAAAAACCAGUUAUACCAGCAUGAAUAUAUUUAUAUAUCUCCUUAGUGUGUGCUGUGUUGGUCAGAGGUUGCCCUUCUCUUUACCUCUAUGGGGAAAAUGUGUGGCAUAAACUUACUCGUAGAGGAUUAAGCUACAGUGAGCAAAGGCCACUUUGCAUCUGAGCAAGAUUGGCCAUGCAGGUGUUUUACGCGCUGUAAUAUUGCACUUCAAUUAAUUCUCUCCACUUUCCUCGACAAAAGCCCCAGGACGGGUCGGCUGUGCAGAUGUCAGCUUCCAGGCUGCAGGUAUUUUGGCGUGAGGACUGCUUCAAGUGUUGGAAUUUCAUAAUUUUUCUGUCACUCAGGAGCCUGAAUCAUCUUUUCUUAGACUUAAACCAGACGGUUUCACUCCUGGCAAGCUGAAGCCUGGAACAUUUCAGCUUUGCUGCAUCAUGUCAAGUUCUGCUGCCGCGUGCAUGUACAUGCUCCAGGAAUAUUUCCAUUACUGUUUCCACCUGCUCUUCAUUUACCAACGGAGGGAGGUUUCCAGGCAGCUUCUCAGUCUCUGGAAGGCUUUGUGAAUUCUUUUUUUUUGCCUUACCCUCUUAGGAACUGGAAAAGCAUCCUCUAGGAAGGAAGCAGAGUGCAGUGACUCUGCCACGCUCCUGUAUCCCUUUUAUCAAGAAAAUUUUAAUGCAGACUUUUAUACCUAAGAACGUUGCGUGCUGUCAGUAGCAAUCAGCUUGUGUUGAUGAUUUUCAGCGCAAGAAGCACUGUGAAAUUUAGCCUUGGACUUUCAUCUUUCUUACUGCUGCUUCUGAAGUAGAUCCGUAGGGAAAAAAAUAUAAUUAAUAUUUUUGUAUUACUGAUUACCCAGUGCUUGAGUUAUUUAAUAAAAUAAUUUAAAAUGCA